GGGUGUUCACAGUCCAUGUUAGAUCGUCAGUAAGGUGUAUUCCCAGGAAUAUCAUGAUGUCAAUUUGAGACGCACUUUGUCCCUUCGUGCACUUCCUGUCUACCUGCGUGAGGAUGUUUCUGUGUUCAAGACCUGCAAUGAGGAAGAGGAGCCAGAUUUUGAUGAUGCUCCUGUUGCUCUCCUUACAUCGGGUCCCGACCCCUUCAGCUGCGAGAACAUCUUUGAAUUGGGUGCAGAGGUUUUCUGAGGCAUUUAUGCUGUUGUUUGGCCUGACAUAUGCUUUCAAUUUAGAAUAUCCCAAAAAACUCACGCACACAUUCUCAUACAGAACAUUUGUAUGUGUCUGGAUGACAACAAACCUCUGAAACGGUCCUUACUCACCUUA
Long non-coding RNA from Clupea harengus (Atlantic herring), 385 nucleotides. The record is from Ensembl. Lineage: Eukaryota; Metazoa; Chordata; Actinopteri; Clupeiformes; Clupeidae.